This 253-nucleotide ribosomal RNA is filed under the name uncultured bacterium. Its description in RNAcentral is "partial 16S ribosomal RNA". It matches the Rfam family "Bacterial small subunit ribosomal RNA", at positions 524 to 776 of the family's 1533-position model. The record is from RNAcentral.
UACAGAGGGUGCGAGCGUUAAUCGGAAUUACUGGGCGUAAAGGGCGCGUAGGUGGUUAAGUAAGUUGUUUGUGAAAUCCCUGGGCUCAACCCAGGAAUUGCAGGCAAGACUGCUUGACUUGAGUACAGUAGAGGGAAGUGGAAUUUCCGGUGUAGCGGUGAAAUGCGUAGAUAUCGGAAGGAACAUCAGUGGCGAAGGCGACUUCCUGGACUGAUACUGACACUGAGGCGCGAAAGCGUGGGGAGCAAACAGG